Bison bison bison is the source of this 117-nucleotide ribosomal RNA. Lineage: Eukaryota; Metazoa; Chordata; Mammalia; Artiodactyla; Bovidae. The record is from Ensembl.
GUCUAAGGCGAUAGCGCCCUGAACUCGCCCUCUCAUCUGAUCUCGGAAGCUAAGCAGGGUCGGGCCUGGUUAGUACUUGGGUGGGAGACCGCCUGGACAUACCGGGUGCUGUAGGCU